UUCCAUAUGGUCCAGUGAUUAGUAUUCCUGGUUUUCACCCAAGCUGCCCAGGGUUCGACUACCAGUAUGGGAA
Molecule: transfer RNA, 73 nt
Filed under: Sphaerodactylus townsendi
Lineage: Eukaryota; Metazoa; Chordata; Lepidosauria; Squamata; Sphaerodactylidae
Description: tRNA-Glu
Source: RNAcentral